Molecule: ribosomal RNA, 457 nt
Filed under: uncultured Rhodocyclaceae bacterium
Lineage: Bacteria; Pseudomonadati; Pseudomonadota; Betaproteobacteria; Rhodocyclales; Rhodocyclaceae
Description: bacterial SSU rRNA
Rfam family: Bacterial small subunit ribosomal RNA
Source: RNAcentral
GCACAAGCGGUGGAGCAUGUGGUCAAUUCGACGCAACGCGAAGAACCUUACCUGGGCUUGAAUCGCAGUGGACAGGAGUCGGAAACACUCCCUCCCUUCGGGGCCGCUGUAGAGGUGCUGCAUGGCUGUCGUCAGCUCGUGUCGUGAGAUGUCGGGUUAAGUCCCUCAACGAGCGCAACCCCUGCCAUUAGUUGCCAUCAUUUGGUUGGGCACUCUAAUGAGACUGCCGGUGACAAACCGGAGGAAGGUGGGGAUGACGUCAAGUCCUCAUGGCCCUUAUGGGUAGGGCUUCACACGUCAUACAAUGGUCGGUACAGAGGGUUGCCAACCCGCGAGGGGGAGCUAAUCCCACAAAGCCGAUCGUAGUCCGGAUCGCAGUCUGCAACUCGACUGCGUGAAGUCGGAAUCGCUAGUAAUCGUGGAUCAGCAUGUCACGGUGAAUACGUUCCCGGGUCUU